UUAGGACUGUAAUUACUCCUGGUGGUUUUUGUGACCCAGAAGAUUCAAGAAAAUUUGAAGCUGUAGGAUCUUUGGAAGCCAAAAGUUCCCAGGCAGAAGACGAACCACAGCGGCCUGCCAGAAAAUGGAAUACAGGCAUUUAUUUUCAGAAGCUAUCAAAUUUUCUACUUCCUAAUCGAUGAUGGAACCAAAUGCACACAAGAGUUGACCUUAAACUACAAGAC
This 224-nucleotide long non-coding RNA is filed under the name Homo sapiens (human). Its description in RNAcentral is "HSALNT0393740". The record is from RNAcentral. Lineage: Eukaryota; Metazoa; Chordata; Mammalia; Primates; Hominidae.